Molecule: ribosomal RNA, 910 nt
Filed under: uncultured bacterium
Lineage: Bacteria
Description: bacterial SSU rRNA
Rfam family: Bacterial small subunit ribosomal RNA
Source: RNAcentral
ACGCUGGCGGCGUGCCUAAUACAUGCAAGUAGAACGCUGAAGAGAGGAGCUUGCUCUUCUUGGAUGAGUUGCGAACGGGUGAGUAACGCGUAGGCAACCUGCCUUGUAGCGGGGGAUAACUAUUGGAAACGAUAGCUAAUACCGCAUAACAAUAGGUGACACAUGUCAUUUAUUUGAAAGGGGCAAUUGCUCCACUACAAGAUGGACCUGCGUUGUAUUAGCUAGUAGGUGAGGUAACGGCUCACCUAGGCGACGAUACAUAGCCGACCUGAGAGGGUGAUCGGCCACACUGGGACUGAGACACGGCCCAGACUCCUACGGGAGGCAGCAGUAGGGAAUCUUCGGCAAUGGGGGCAACCCUGACCGAGCAACGCCGCGUGAGUGAAGAAGGUUUUCGGAUCGUAAAGCUCUGUUGUAAGUCAAGAACGAGUGUGAGAGUGGAAAGUUCACACUGUGACGGUAGCUUACCAGAAAGGGACGGCUAACUACGUGCCAGCAGCCGCGGUAAUACGUAGGUCCCGAGCGUUGUCCGGAUUUAUUGGGCGUAAAGCGAGCGCAGGCGGUUUGAUAAGUCUGAAGUUAAAGGCUGUGGCUCAACCAUAGUUCGCUUUGGAAACUGUCAAACUUGAGUGCAGAAGGGGAGAGUGGAAUUCCAUGUGUAGCGGUGAAAUGCGUAGAUAUAUGGAGGAACACCGGUGGCGAAAGCGGCUCUCUGGUCUGUAACUGACGCUGAGGCUCGAAAGCGUGGGGAGCGAACAGGAUUAGAUACCCUGGUAGUCCACGCCGUAAACGAUGAGUGCUAGGUGUUGGAUCCUUUCCGGGAUUCAGUGCCGCAGCUAACGCAUUAAGCACUCCGCCUGGGGAGUACGACCGCAAGGUUGAAACUCAAAGGAAUUGACGGGGGCCCGCA